UGCUUUGCUGUACCUGGGCCUCACC
Molecule: non-coding RNA, 25 nt
Filed under: Mus musculus (house mouse)
Lineage: Eukaryota; Metazoa; Chordata; Mammalia; Rodentia; Muridae
Source: RNAcentral